CUAUCAAUAUAAACUGCACCGAAGGCAAGGAGCAGAACAGAGACAUGUGCAGCCAUGGAGACGGACAGCUCCUACCACAAAUGGGACAGCUCAGAGCAGGUGGAACUGACAAUGCAGGGAGCGAGCAGCGCACCUGGGAGAGGCGGUAAAGCUCUUUGCCUCUCCAACUCCACCCAAGGGAAGGCCAUUGCGAUCCUGUAUCUCCUGCUGGCGAUUUGCAUUGCAGUGGUCACAGCUCUCAUCGUGGUGAAACUUGGGAAAUGUAAGUCUCCUCUUCAUUUCUACCCCGGCCUCAGAUCUCACCUGCCAAGAGUGAGGCUGCUCUGACUAGUUUGGGGUGGAUUUUAGCAGUGGGGCACAAAAUUGGGCUGAGACUGGAGGCUCAGCUGUGACCUUAAUUAUGGAGCAGUUGCCAUUGCUAGGUAACUUUCACUCACCUCUGAGUUAAGGUGACAGGAUUUUCAAAGGGGUGGGAUUUCUCCUUAGCAUAACUCCCGCUAGCUUUCCAUGGGACUUGUGCUCGUAAAUCUCAGAAAAAUCCCACCCAAAAUCAAUAACCGGCCAUGUUUGUGGUGACAUUUUGAAGGUUGUGAAAUAUUCAUACAAACAUUUUCUUUUUUUUAACUGUGUGUUGGGGCCAGUGCGAAGGGCUGACUGCGGAUCCCACUAGCGGACAGGGAAUGUCUGGGAGUGAGAACAAUGCAACGUGGGCAUAACACAAUGCGCUGCACAAUUGCCUUUUCCACAUUAACACAAGGAGAGCUUGGGCCCGACAAAUACAUUCCUUUCCUAUUUAACUUUGCAACCACCUAACCACACACAAACCGAGACAGGCUCCUCGUGGCAGCAGGCGGCUUUCUCCUCCGCACAGCAGUCAGAGCCCUGCAUUGCUCUGGGAAGGCUGAACCUUUUCACUCUCAGCUUUGCUAUGCCCCUUUGAGCUGUCCAGCCACAUUCCACACCUGUGUGUAGUAAUAGCAGCUGCACCGCAUAUCUUGGGGCCACUGACAGCUCAGUGUAACAUAGAGCAGCCCCAAUGCAGCUCUACAUUGUACCAAGGACACAGCUGAUGUCCAGAAUAAUGAAUCCCGGUGUUGAGCACAAUGUGCCUGUAGCGGAGGAUCACAGCUAGCAUGAGGUAACGGACACCCAAAGACUUAGGUGGUAACUGGGAGGAAAGUGCAUUUUACAGCAGCACUGAUGUCCCCACAUCUAUGGAUUUCCCCUGCUCAUAAAUUUUACUCUGCUAUCAAAAGUCUCAUGUCUACAGUGUCCCAGGGUCUUGCCGAAGCCCAGGUGGAUCGAGAUAUGAUUAGAAGAGAUUCCA
Molecule: long non-coding RNA, 1327 nt
Filed under: Chrysemys picta bellii (western painted turtle)
Lineage: Eukaryota; Metazoa; Chordata; Testudines; Emydidae
Description: lncRNA (ENSCPBG00000003791.1)
Source: RNAcentral